Long non-coding RNA from Gadus morhua (Atlantic cod), 515 nucleotides. RefSeq lists it as uncharacterized. NCBI's taxonomy places the organism in Eukaryota, Metazoa, Chordata, Actinopteri, Gadiformes, Gadidae. The record is from RefSeq and is a predicted model, not a curated record. The transcript is spliced from 3 exons.
GUAAUCUUUCAAUAUGCCAGGCAGCACAUGUAAAACAUGCCCCUCCUGCAAAACCAUUCUGCCUUGCGCUAAAAAGGUUUGCAGCCACUGCAAAAUGGUCCAGCCUGUAAAGGAACGCCUCAAAAUUGCCUUGAGAAAAUUUGAGGCUAAGCGGGAAGAGUGGGCGUCUUCCCGCAAGAAGAACCACAACAUGGCUGUUGUCAAGCAGGAAAUGUUCCUCCUGCUCGAAAAGCUUCAAGCAGCAGGAUAUAAACCUGUCCUGCUGCUUGGAAAAGCCACUAAAAAGAGCCAUGUGGUCAAGGUGUUCACACCUCGUUGCACCUUGGCCACAUUUGCGGAGGAGUCCCUCAAAAAAAUGGGCUCCAUCCAUGAGUACAUUUGUCAAGGAUGGACCCCUUUUGCAAGUGGGACUGCAGAGGGGCCAGAAGAGGGCAGGGGGACCACUCAGGUGAAGACAUACAGGAAUAUCUAUGACAAUUAAAGAGGCUAAUCCUAUAUAUUGUUAUAUACUGCAU